Molecule: long non-coding RNA, 510 nt
Organism: Catharus ustulatus (Swainson's thrush)
Lineage: Eukaryota; Metazoa; Chordata; Aves; Passeriformes; Turdidae
Exons: 3
Source: RefSeq, a predicted model, not a curated record
CCAUGUUGGGGAGGUCGGCGCUGAGGCAGAGGCCGUUCCCUGUCGCUCUCCCUCCUCGCUCAUUCCCAGUUGCCCACGCUCAUCUACAGCCCCGCGAGGCGCAGCUGAGGCGCGGGCAGCCACUCUACCUGCAGGAGUGACACUCAGCGCCUGCUGGAGCUCCUCCAUGUUCUGUGUAUCCCUCAGAGGCUCCAGCUCUCUGAGGGUACAGCAGGGAGGCGGGAUGUGACCUGUUGCUGGAGGGCUGUGGUGCCCCUCUUCCCAUAGAGACGUGCAUCCCGCAUGGAGGAGCCUCCUGGGCCGAGGGGACUCUCCAGAAGCCUCACGGAGAGCCGGGAUUGCCGGGAAGGAGCUGUGGGAUGUCCCAGGUGCUUUGUGCAGGGCUGGGAUAACCUGGGGGCACAUCUGGGGUUUGUCCCUCACCAGGAUGGGAGGAAACAUCCAAGGGAACGCUGCUGGAACGUUGGAAGGGAUCGAGCCGACCAUGCCAGGCACUGGCUGCUGGAAAAC